This 1105-nucleotide long non-coding RNA is filed under the name Ananas comosus (pineapple). RNAcentral's name for it is "long non-coding RNA (ACOM_LNC034833)". Lineage: Eukaryota; Viridiplantae; Streptophyta; Magnoliopsida; Poales; Bromeliaceae. The record is from RNAcentral.
UCCCCACAUGGAGGGGAUUGUCGUCGAGUACUCCGGAGUGUCGUGCGACUAGGACCACUUGGAGGUCCGGACCACAUGGAGGUCCGCAGACGGUCCCGGGCUUGGGUGCACUUGGAGCUCCCUCCCCACUUUGGGAUUGAAAGGUGAGUUAUUGGCGAACCCUAGGGCUUCGCUACAGAUUGGGUAAAAGAACAGUGAACAAUGUCAUUGAACAUUAUUAUUCGAACAUGGAUCGAAUUCGUUAGCAUGAUAGUAAACCUUUACUAUUUGAUGCAUGGUAUGAGUUUUAGUUGCAUCCCAGUUGAGUGGAUUUAGGGCUGAGGUGCAUGUGAGACAUCCUUCACCUUGAGCCUGGCUUUGUGCGGUAUUCCGCGUAUGAUUGACUCAAGACCGAGUCGAGUGGAUAGCUUAUAAAAGCAGGUUAAACCCUAUGAGCAGAAUUGUAAUUGACAAGAAUCUAAGAUAGAGGAAAACUUAGAAGUCAAUUGGUUGAACUGUGAAUAACAGGAAUAAAAGUAGUAUCGAUUGAACUACUAGUUGGUUGCAUGGUUGCAUAAACUGCAUGAAUUUCAUAUUGCAUUUUGUGAGGCACAACAUGUAUUUCAAUACUUGAAUAUAUAUAUCUGUUGGAUAUCUGUUGGACUAACAUGUUGCAGGGCCUCCUUAGACCUAUUGGUCGAGCUUUUCCCUUGGGUGGCCGUACCCACUGGGAACCAUGGAGUUGGUUCUCACCCCACGUUGUUUUGGGGUGUUACAGGUUCGCACGUGAGCGGCGCGGCGGCGCAAGGCGAGGGCGUAGCUCCAUAGAUAGCGCCCUACCCCAGAGACCAGAGAUAGAGGUACCCCGAGUCGGCAUAGCCUAGGGGUAGAGGGAAAAGAAAAAGAGCAAACUUGUAAUAAUAUUGCGAUCAUUGAUUGUAUUUGGAAGAAAAUGUAAUGUAAUAAUGCUAAUGUGAUGUAAAAAAUGAAUCUAAUGGGAAUGCUUGUAAUAACAUAGGAUGUGUUAUGUUGUUUGAUACCUUCCUUAUGCAAUCUUGCUUGAAUACUGUUCCUGGUUGGAACUUCUUGUACUUGUAUUGAUUGCGACGCCUAGGACGUACAGGGG